Molecule: long non-coding RNA, 234 nt
Filed under: Mytilus galloprovincialis (Mediterranean mussel)
Lineage: Eukaryota; Metazoa; Mollusca; Bivalvia; Mytilida; Mytilidae
Source: RNAcentral
GUUCAUUAUCACUGAACCAGUAUAUAUUUGUUUAGGGGCCAGCUGAAGGACGCCUCCGGGUGCAAGAAUUUCUCGUUGCAUUGAAGACCUGUUGGUGACCUUCUGCUGUUGUCUGCUCUAUGGUUGGGUUGUUGUCUCUUUGGCACAUUCCCCAUUUCCAUUCUCAAUUUUAUGAUGACAUAAUCAGUUUUUAAUAUUAUUUAUACAGCUAGGUUGAUUUCAAUAAGUAAUCUG